GGUGUGUAGCUCAGUGGUCAAGGGCUUGCCUGGCCCGCACCAGGUCCUGGGUUCCAUCCCCAGCAUCA
RNAcentral lists this transfer RNA (68 nucleotides) under Marmota monax (woodchuck). RNAcentral describes it as "tRNA.Ala". The record is from RNAcentral. Lineage: Eukaryota; Metazoa; Chordata; Mammalia; Rodentia; Sciuridae.